RNAcentral lists this ribosomal RNA (253 nucleotides) under uncultured bacterium. RNAcentral's name for it is "partial 16S ribosomal RNA". It matches the Rfam family "Bacterial small subunit ribosomal RNA", at positions 524 to 776 of the family's 1533-position model. The record is from RNAcentral.
UACGUAGGGUGCAAGCGUUGUCCGGAAUUAUUGGGCGUAAAGAGCUCGUAGGCGGUUUGUCGCGUCGAAUGUGAAAACCCGGGGCUCAACCCCGGGCCUGCAUUCGAUACGGGCAGACUAGAGUUCGGUAGGGGAGUCUGGAAUUCCUGGUGUAGCGGUGAAAUGCGCAGAUAUCAGGAGGAACACCGGUGGCGAAGGCGGGACUCUGGGCCGAUACUGACGCUGAGGAGCGAAAGCGUGGGGGGCGAACAGG